RNAcentral lists this ribosomal RNA (429 nucleotides) under Chloroflexota bacterium. RNAcentral describes it as "Chloroflexi bacterium partial 16S ribosomal RNA". It matches the Rfam family "Bacterial small subunit ribosomal RNA", at positions 355 to 776 of the family's 1533-position model. Lineage: Bacteria; Bacillati; Chloroflexota. The record is from RNAcentral.
UGGGGAAUAUUGCACAAUGGGCGCAAGCCUGAUGCAGCCAUGCCGCGUGUGUGAAGAAGGCCUUCGGGUUGUAAAGCACUUUCAGCGGGGAGGAAGGCGGUGAGGUUAAUAACCUCAUCGAUUGACGUUACCCGCAGAAGAAGCACCGGCUAACUCCGUGCCAGCAGCCGCGGUAAUACGGAGGGUGCAAGCGUUAAUCGGAAUUACUGGGCGUAAAGCGCACGCAGGCGGUCUGUCAAGUCGGAUGUGAAAUCCCCGGGCUCAACCUGGGAACUGCAUUCGAAACUGGCAGGCUAGGGUCUUGUAGAGGGGGGUAGAAUUCCAGGUGUAGCGGUGAAAUGCGUAGAGAUCUGGAGGAAUACCGGUGGCGAAGGCGGCCCCCUGGACAAAGACUGACGCUCAGGUGCGAAAGCGUGGGGAGCAAACAGG